GGAAUAUUGGACAAUGGGGGCAACCCUGAUCCAGCAAUGCCGCGUGGGUGAAGAAGGCCUGCGGGUUGUAAAGCCCUUUUGGUGGGGAGGAAAGCCCUGGUUUGAAUAGAGCCAGGGGGUGACGCUACCCACAGAAGAAGCACCGGCUAACUCCGUGCCAGCCGCCGCGGUAAUACGGAGGGUGCGAGCGUUAAUCGGAAUUACUGGGCGUAAAGGGUGCGUAGGCGGUGAGUUCAGUCAGAUGUGAAAGCCCUGGGCUCAACCUGGGAAUGGCAUUUGAUACUGGCUGACUGGAGUGUGACAGAGGAUGGCGGAAUUCCGGGUGUAGCGGUGAAAUGCGUAGAGAUCCGGAGGAACACCGAUGGCGAAGGCAGCCAUCUGGGUUAACACUGACGCUGAGGCACGAAAGCGUGGGGAGCAAAC
RNAcentral lists this ribosomal RNA (423 nucleotides) under uncultured bacterium. Its description in RNAcentral is "bacterial SSU rRNA". It matches the Rfam family "Bacterial small subunit ribosomal RNA", at positions 358 to 773 of the family's 1533-position model. The record is from RNAcentral.